GGGGUUGCAGCUCAGUGGUAGAGUGUGUGCUCAGUGUGCAUGAGGCCUUGGGUUCAAUCUCCAACACUACA
Molecule: transfer RNA, 71 nt
Filed under: Marmota monax (woodchuck)
Lineage: Eukaryota; Metazoa; Chordata; Mammalia; Rodentia; Sciuridae
Description: tRNA.Thr
Source: RNAcentral